RNAcentral lists this non-coding RNA (21 nucleotides) under Arabidopsis thaliana (thale cress). Lineage: Eukaryota; Viridiplantae; Streptophyta; Magnoliopsida; Brassicales; Brassicaceae. The record is from RNAcentral.
UUGAACAUUGCGUCCUCUAGC